Gossypium hirsutum (cotton) is the source of this 131-nucleotide non-coding RNA. The record is from Rfam. NCBI's taxonomy places the organism in Eukaryota, Viridiplantae, Streptophyta, Magnoliopsida, Malvales, Malvaceae.
UAUUAAAGUUUGUAUCCAUUUCUAAUGUUAAAAACUGACAUAGUAGACAAAAUAACUAAACAACCACGUGUACCUUAUAUUGAUGUAUAUGAACUAGUUUUUAACAGUAAAAAUGGAUAUGAUUUUUAACA